GACGAACGCUGGCGGCGUGCUUAACACAUGCAAGUCGAACGGAAGGGCCCUGCUUUUGUGGGGUGCUCGAGUGGCGAACGGGUGAGUAACACGUGAGUAACCUGCCCUUGACUUUGGGAUAUCUUCAGGCAACUGGGGCUAAUACCGGAUAGGAGCUCCUGCUGCAUGGUGGGGGUUGGACAGUUUCGGCGGUUGUGGAUGGACUCGCGGCUUAUCAGCUUGUUGGUGGGGUAGUGGCUUACCAAGGCGUUGACGGGUAGACGGCCUGAGAGGGUGAGCGGCCACAUUGGGACUGAGGUACGGCCCAGACUGCUACGGGAGGCAGCAGUGGGGAAUAUUGCACAAUGGGCGGAAGCCUGAUGCAGCAACGCCGCGUGCGGGAUGACGGCCUUCGGGGUGUAAACCGCUUUCGCCUGUGACGAAGCGUGAGUGACGGUAAUGGGUAAAGAAGCACCGGCUAACUACGUG
RNAcentral lists this ribosomal RNA (468 nucleotides) under uncultured bacterium. Its description in RNAcentral is "partial 16S ribosomal RNA". It matches the Rfam family "Bacterial small subunit ribosomal RNA", at positions 28 to 507 of the family's 1533-position model. The record is from RNAcentral.